UACAGAGGGUGCGAGCGUUGUCCGGAAUCACUGGGCGUAAAGGGCGCGUAGGUGGCGACCCAAGUCGAUGGUGAAAGCUCGCCGCUCAACGGCGAGUCGGCCACUGAUACUGGGUUGCUGGAGCACUGUAGAGGCAGAUGGAAUUCCGGGUGUAGCGGUGGAAUGCGUAGAGAUCCGGAAGAACACCGGUGGCGAAGGCGGUCUGCUGGGCAGUUGCUGACACUGAGGCGCGGACAGCGUGGGGAGCAAACAGG
This 254-nucleotide ribosomal RNA is filed under the name uncultured bacterium. Its description in RNAcentral is "partial 16S ribosomal RNA". It matches the Rfam family "Bacterial small subunit ribosomal RNA", at positions 524 to 776 of the family's 1533-position model. The record is from RNAcentral.